RNAcentral lists this ribosomal RNA (402 nucleotides) under uncultured bacterium. Its description in RNAcentral is "bacterial SSU rRNA". It matches the Rfam family "Bacterial small subunit ribosomal RNA", at positions 355 to 749 of the family's 1533-position model. The record is from RNAcentral.
UGGGGAAUUUUGGACAAUGGGGGCAACCCUGAUCCAGCCAUGCCGCGUGCGGGAAGAAGGCCUUCGGGUUGUAAACCGCUUUUGUCAGGGAAGAAAUCUUCCGAGCUAAUACCUUGGGAGGAUGACGGUACCUGAAGAAUAAGCACCGGCUAACUACGUGCCAGCAGCCGCGGUAAUACGUAGGGUGCAAGCGUUAAUCGGAAUUACUGGGCGUAAAGCGUGCGCAGGCGGUUGUGCAAGACAGGUGUGAAAUCCCCGGGCUUAACCUGGGAACUGCACUUGUGACUGUACGGCUGGAGUACGGCAGAGGGGGAUGGAAUUCCGCGUGUAGCAGUGAAAUGCGUAGAUAUGCGGAGGAACACCGAUGGCGAAGGCAGUCCCCUGGGCCUGUACUGACGCUCA